RNAcentral lists this ribosomal RNA (843 nucleotides) under uncultured Actinomycetes bacterium. RNAcentral's name for it is "bacterial SSU rRNA". It matches the Rfam family "Bacterial small subunit ribosomal RNA", at positions 528 to 1375 of the family's 1533-position model. Lineage: Bacteria; Bacillati; Actinomycetota; Actinomycetes. The record is from RNAcentral.
UAGGGUACGAGCGUUGUCCGGAAUUAUUGGGCGUAAAGAGCUCGUAGGUGGUUGGUCACGUCUGCUGUGGAAACGCAACGCUUAACGUUGCGCGGGCAGUGGGUACGGGCUGACUAGAGUGCAGUAGGGGAGUCUGGAAUUCCUGGUGUAGCGGUGAAAUGCGCAGAUAUCAGGAGGAACACCGGUGGCGAAGGCGGGACUCUGGGCUGUGACUGACACUGAGGAGCGAAAGCAUGGGGAGCGAACAGGAUUAGAUACCCUGGUAGUCCAUGCCGUAAACGUUGGGCACUAGGUGUGGGGGACAUUCCACGUUUUCCGCGCCGUAGCUAACGCAUUAAGUGCCCGCCUGGGGAGUACGGUCGCAAGGCUAAAACUCAAAGGAAUUGACGGGGGCCCGCACAAGCGGCGGAGCAUGCGGAUUAAUUCGAUGCAACGCGAAGAACCUUACCAAGGCUUGACAUACACCGGACACGCUUGGRAACAGGUGCUCCCUUUGGGGCUGGUGUACAGGUGGUGCAUGGUUGUCGUCAGCUCGUGUCGUGAGAUGUUGGGUUAAGUCCCGCAACGAGCGCAACCCUCGUUCUAUGUUGCCAGCACGUGAUGGUGGGAACUCAUAGGAGACUGCCGGGGUCAACUCGGAGGAAGGUGGGGAUGACGUCAAAUCAUCAUGCCCUUUAUGUCUUGGGCUUCACGCAUGCUACAAUGGCCGGUACAGAGAGAGGCGAGCCUGUGAGGGUGAGCGAAUCCCUUAAAGCCGGUCUCAGUUCGGAUCGUAGUCUGCAAUUCGACUACGUGAAGUCGGAGUCGCUAGUAAUCGCAGAUCGCUGCGGUGAAUACGUUCCC